GACGAACGCUGGCGGCGUGCUUAACACAUGCAAGUCGAACGGUGAUGCUCCAGCUUGCUGGAGUGGAUCAGUGGCGAACGGGUGAGUAACACGUGAGCAACCUGCCCCAGACUCUGGAAUAAGCGCUGGAAACGGCGUCUAAUACUGGAUACGAAACUGGCCCGCAUGGGCAUGGUUUGGAAAGUUUUUCGGUUUGGGAUGGGCUCGCGGCCUAUCAGCUUGUUGGUGAGGUAAUGGCUCACCAAGGCGACGACGGGUAGCCGGCCUGAGAGGGCGACCGGCCACACUGGGACCGAGACACGGCCCAGACUCCUACGGGAGGCAGCAGUGGGGAAUAUUGCACAAUGGGCGAAAGCCUGAUGCAGCGACGCCGCGUGAGGGAUGACGGCCUUCGGGUUGUAAACCUCUUUCAGCAGGGAAGAAGCGAAAGUGACGGUACCUGCAGAAGAAGCACCGGCUAACUACGUG
Molecule: ribosomal RNA, 468 nt
Filed under: uncultured bacterium
Lineage: Bacteria
Description: partial 16S ribosomal RNA
Rfam family: Bacterial small subunit ribosomal RNA
Source: RNAcentral